RNAcentral lists this non-coding RNA (722 nucleotides) under Cloacotaenia megalops. The record is from RNAcentral. Lineage: Eukaryota; Metazoa; Platyhelminthes; Cestoda; Cyclophyllidea; Hymenolepididae.
AAUGGUUGUUUAACUAUGGCAAUAGAAAGUGUUUUAAUUUUAACUGCAUAAAAAAUUUUUAUUAGUUUAAUAGCAUAGAAUUGGCUAUUGGUGAUUAGCAGUUUAUUUUUUAUUAGAAUGAAUGUUUUUUAAGAAAAUUAAUAGUUUAAGGGGAUAGGACACAGUGCCAGCAUCCGCGGUUAAUCUGUUUUCUUUGCUUUUGUUUAGGUAUUAAAUGAUUAUUUAUACGUUAGGUUAGGUGAAAAUUUUUAGCGAAUUAUAUUUUAUACUCAUUUAUUGGUAAGCUAAUAUUAACGACAGGGAUUAGAUACCCCAUUAGUUAUUAGUUUAAUAAAUCUUAGUUUUAUAACUAAAAUAGUUUGGCAGCAGGCUACUCCGUUUAGGGGAAGGUGUAAAGUAAAGGAUGGUCCGCCUAUUAUUUUACUUAUGUUAUGUUGGUGUAUAUCUGGUUGUAUAUUAUUACUUUAAUAGUUUGAAUUUGUGUAUAAUUAUUAUUUAAGCCAAGUCUAUGUGCUGCAUACUUAAGUUUUUAUGCGUUACAUUAAUAAAAAAGUACCUGAAAUGGUUUAUAUUUAGGACUUAAUAGUAAUAUAAAAUUAAUUUGUUUAUGUGAAUUUGGUUUAGCCUGGGUACACACCGCCCGUCAUCCUCGAUAGACAUUGAGGCAAGUCGUAACAAGGUAACUUUAAAUGAAUUUGAAGUUAAUUACUUAAUAAGUUAAA